UUGACCUCGGAUCAGGUAGGGAUACCCGCUGAACUUAAGCAUAUCAAUAAGGCGGAGGA
Molecule: ribosomal RNA, 59 nt
Filed under: Penicillium expansum
Lineage: Eukaryota; Fungi; Ascomycota; Eurotiomycetes; Eurotiales; Aspergillaceae
Description: partial 28S ribosomal RNA
Source: RNAcentral